RNAcentral lists this ribosomal RNA (253 nucleotides) under uncultured bacterium. RNAcentral describes it as "partial 16S ribosomal RNA". It matches the Rfam family "Bacterial small subunit ribosomal RNA", at positions 524 to 776 of the family's 1533-position model. The record is from RNAcentral.
UACGUAGGGUGCAAGCGUUCAUCGGAAUUACUGGGCGUAAAGCGUGCGUAGGCGGUUUGUUAAGUCCGUUGUGAAAGCCCUGGGCUCAACCUGGGAAUUGCAGUGGAUACUGGCGAGCUAGAGUGCGGUAGAGGAUGGUGGAAUUCCCGGUGUAGCGGUGAAAUGCGUAGAGAUCGGGAGGAACACCCGUGGCGAAGGCGGCCAUCUGGACCAGCACUGACGCUGAGGCACGAAAGCGUGGGGAGCAAACAGG